GAAGCCAGAUUCCUCCCCCAAAACCCCCAGAACCCUAAGCCCCCGUUGUGCGUGUCACCGGCUAUGGCGCUGUACUCUCUCCGUCUCCGCCGAACCCUAACCUCCCUCUCCACCCUCCACCGCACUGCUCUCUGUCUGCAGUUCCUGCAAUCCCUGCAAUCUCCACUCCGCUUCCCCAGGGCCUCACGUCCACGUCCACGCCGUCGCACCCCUGGGCUCUCCUUGUCCAAUCCCGGCCGUUCAGAUUGACGACCGUCGCGCUCUUCUCGUACCACCAGGACACCAUGCUGCACGAAGGUUGCGAUUAUAAUGACUGGGUAAUCGUUAUGUCCUUCCCUGAAGACAACAAGCGCACCCCCGAGCAAAUGGUCCAGACCUACGAGGAGACCUGUGCUAAGGGCCUCAAUAUCAGGUCUCUCUCUAUCGGACACACACUCACUCCUCGCUCUUAACCUCUGUUUGGUGUCUCUGGAAAUUGGGGGGAAAAGUGUGGAGGAGGCAAAAAAGAGAAUAUAUGCUUGUAGUACAACAAGAUAUGAGGGCUUUUAGGCUGCCAUUUCAGAAGAAGAAGCAAACAAAUAUGAGGGUUUACCUGGAGUUACUUCUGUGGUUCCAGAUUUUUACGUAGAUCCCAUUAACAAGGAGUAUGGAGGAGAUAAAUACAUUAAUGGAACAAUUAUAGCAAGGCUACCCCCUGUUGAAUAUUGGAAGCAGGGAAUGAAGCCUCCUUUCCGAUAUGGCCAGGAAGGUCCUACAAUUCAGCAGUAUAGAUCCUCAAAUGGCUUACUGGUGUCAAGAGAUGGUGCUUCAUAAAACUACCCAUCACUACAAAAUGACUUCUAAUGAUAGUCAAACCCCCUAAUUGGGCUUUAUGUUGUAGUUCCUGUCACAUUUCAUUGCACAUCCACAUCCCUUGGGAUUUAGGGCAGAAAAGAAGCAAGUUAAGCAACUAAAGGUACCUUCAGCUUUUCUUCCAAGCAAAUGGAUGGGGUAGAUAACACAAAUGAUAAAAGGUAUUUUAUCAAACACUUGGUGUUUAUGAAAAUUUUUGAGUGUAAUGGAUGAUGGGUGGGUUUCAAUCUCACUAUAACUACAACACACGGCUCAACAUCCAAAUUUACUUGCAGUGUGGAUUUGAUGGAAAGUUCAAGGCUUUCAAA
Corylus avellana is the source of this 1160-nucleotide long non-coding RNA. RefSeq lists it as uncharacterized. NCBI's taxonomy places the organism in Eukaryota, Viridiplantae, Streptophyta, Magnoliopsida, Fagales, Betulaceae. The record is from RefSeq and is a predicted model, not a curated record.